This 252-nucleotide ribosomal RNA is filed under the name uncultured bacterium. RNAcentral's name for it is "partial 16S ribosomal RNA". It matches the Rfam family "Bacterial small subunit ribosomal RNA", at positions 524 to 776 of the family's 1533-position model. The record is from RNAcentral.
UACGGGGGGGGUAAGCGUUGUUCGGAAUUACUGGGCGUAAAGGGCUCGUAGGCGGCCAACUAAGUCAGACGUGAAAUCCCUCGGCUUAACCGGGGAACUGCAUCUGAUACUGGAUGGCUUGAGUUCGGGAGAGGGAUGCGGAAUUCCAGGUGUAGCGGUGAAAUGCGUAGAUAUCUGGAGGAACACCGGUGGCGAAGGCGGCAUCCUGACCGACACUGACGCUGAGGAGCGAAAGCCAGGGGAGCAAACGGG